GCUGAGCGAGGGGCUGCGGGCAGAGGGGCUGCAGAGCUCGGGACCGCAGAGCUCAGGACCGGGACAGCUAAACAGGAUUAAGGGCAGGAUGACAACUCUGGGGAGGAUUUAGCAGUUACUUCUCUGUGUCAGCACGCGGUCGAUGGGCUCGCAGCCUGCGGCAGUACAGGGCUGCCUUCCUCCUUUACAAUGUGGGAUUGUGAGAUGGCAGGAAGAGCAGCAUGUGCCGGUUGUCUUUGCAAUCAUGCAAGGGAAGCGCAAGUGCCUCCUCCCAGGGUUUCUUCUUCCCUUUGUCACGGUGUCACUGGAGGAGGGCAGACCCGUCACAUACAAACGGCUUCAAAGGUACAGAUAAACCUUUCCGUGCGCUUGCCUUUGUGCCUCCCGCGGGCCGUAUUCACAGCCUGGGGGAAGCAAAUGCUCAUGUGAAGGUUAGCCCAGCUGUAGGUUCAAGGAGAGGUAAGAUUUCUGCCCAGAUUUUGGAAAACCCACCCGGCGUGUGGGGUGAAUUUUAGCGCUGCACUUUAAAAAGGCCCCAACCAAUUCCUCCUUCGAACACUAGAGGCUGUUUUCAGGCAUCGUUCCGCUUUCCCCUCGCUCAUCCCUUGGCUCCAGCUUUCUGGCACCGAGGGGCUGGCUUUGCGGACCCGUGUUUUGGGGGCAGGAGAGCCAAGUUCCUCACGUACAACGCCAAGCGGCGUUUCCCACAUGUUAGCUCGUGUGUCAAGCUGCUGCUUUGACACGAUCUCUUGAAGUACCAAGAAUGACGGAAGAGUAAAAAAAAAAAGAAAAACUGGCAGGAAGAGAUUUUUAAAUCAAUCCUUGUUCUGAAGUUACUUAAUAAAGCAAAGUAGAAACUUUUAGGCAAAAAGAAAAAAAAAAGACAAAGUUUUCCCCUUUCCUUCUAUGUUGUAUGACCUAGGACACUUCUAGCCUUCAUUUGUCCCUACCAAGGGCCCAACAUCACCAAACUUCAUCUCCUUUAAGGCCUGUAAAGCCCUUCUUGGAGCAUUUUUCAUACACUGAUACCACCGCAACGUCUCUCCUACACACACUUCCACAAAUGCCCAACCGCGCAGCCCCCUUAUCCUGCCUUUAACCCCGCAAGUGGGAGUCUCCGAUUCCUUGUUUAACAGUCCGGACAAAUACCUCAGGGUUUCAGCCAUGGCCUGGCGAUGCUAGCAGGUUGGAACAGACCCCGCCUUUGAGAAACGAUGCAGCAAUGGGGGAAAAUCCCUCCCGGCCACGCUGCACCUGCACGGGGGCAUUUCUGGGCCUGGGCUUAAGCAGCCGCCUCGUCACAGUUGUGUAACAGCCCUGGGCUGUGCAGGUUCACACACAAAAUCCAUCAUGACAGGGGUGACGGAUUUGCUGGUUUUGUCCCAAGAGACGUGGCACGGGGACGGGCGAGUUCAGCCUGACCCUGACGCCAGAGGAAUGCGUUUCGUCCGGGCUCCAGCUGCGUAGCGAGACCCUCCAGUGGGUGUUUAGUCUUUAUUACCUACAAUUACAUGCUUGUUGUUCCCACCCAGCCACCGUUUCCAAUACAACUGACACUCACCCUCGUUAUAGGUAAAAUAAUCCUUUGCAACGGAUGGGGAAUCUGUUGUAGCAGCACUUCUGCCACGUCCGGCUUCUCCUGGCUGCCCACGAUCUCGCUAGCAUGGAACAAGGUCAGCGUUAGUGCAAGGACAGAAGCCCCAGCGUGUUUAAGGCUACGUGGUGUAAAGUUACCUCUUGCUUUUCAAUAUGGGAAAAAAACCCGGGUUAAACAAAAAUCUCUAAUAACAGGAGAGCAAGGAAACAAGUGACAUGUGAAAAUACGUUUCAUACAAAACAAGGCUUUGCAAAGAGGAAGUCAUCAGGGCAGUCAAACCCAAGCUUUGAACCAAGAUGCCCAACCAGUGAGAAAUAUAAACGAUACACAGAAAACUUACAGAAGAAAAGAACACGACAAAAAAAUCACUCACUUCCACAAAAUGAUGCGACUUUAGACCAUUUAAAGUUUUCAAAGCAGCCGGCUUGGGGGAGGGUGCCAGAGAUACCCAUGUACUUUGGAGGGCACAUGGAUCCUUGCCUGGUCCCAGGAGAAUAGUAGGUUUGGGUUUUGUACAAAGGUACAACAAAUCUGGCCGCUGAGGUAGCGCAGCCCCUGGACACUGAAGAGAAACAUGGGAAAAAAUGAAAACUCCAGGUGUAGGACUGGGAUUAACCAGGGCGUCCUGUGGAUGAGUUCCCCUGACCUCCCAAUGAGCCUCCAGGACUCACCUGGUGUCCUGGAGAAUGAAGAAGAAUGGGAGAGGGAGAUGGUGUUUUGGAGUGACUUUUUGUAAAGGUUGAGCUUCAUUUCCCACGUGAAAGCCUUCUUAGACGGUUGGGUGGCAUUUCCUCGGGAACCUGAAAGGAUGAAAAUCACGGUGUGAAAUUCAUCUGAUGGCUUUUUUUGUAGAAAUGUGAGAAGGGAGCAAAUUAAGUUGGGAAACAUGGGACUUGAUUCAAAGUAGAAUAAUUUUGACUCACUUUGGGGAGGAGGCCUCCUUUCCAUUUCUUUUGCUCCAAGUUUGACAGAUGUGCUUUUCUCUAGGGUAUAAAGAAUAAGCAUUGCUAGGAGCACUACGCCUUUCUUGCACAGACCGUUCAUUCCUUACUCACUUCAGCAGCACUGCAUUUUUUCCCCUCUUUAAAAUUGCAAUAUGACUUAUGCUUGGCAUGUCCCGUAUUAAGGAAUCGCAGUAUGUCAACCUGGUGCACGCUAAAUACUGAACUCAAAUACCAAACUCGGAUGAAAUCACCUUUGCAUUCAGGCGCAGCUCCGCUCCAGACUCCGUCUGGUUUGUCCGUGCUCGUACAGCGGAUGCUCGCAUUUCCGACGAGUUGGAAGCCAGAGUCACAGCUGUAAGUCACUGUUGAGUUAUAAGCAAAUUUUUCUACACCUUUGCCAUCAUGUUUUCCGUUGCUAAUUUGAGGAGGUGAAGAGCAGGUAAUUACUGCAGGAAAGAAGGUCAACAUGAGUAUUGCAAAAUGGUUCAGUAAUAACGAAAACGCAAAAUGUUUCUUGAGUCCACCUAAGGUUCUUGAAGACACUAAACGUUUUGGACAACAGAAGGUGGGUAACUAGCACUGCCUUCUGUCUCGAGCAUCUCUCUUUUCUUUCUGAAGUGCUCCUCUUGUCACAUCUUUCUCGCUCUCGCUCCAAGGGUCACAAAAAUAAACAGGCAACGUGCCGUGCCCUGGCUCGUGAUGCCUUGAAAUCUCUUCCCAUCACCUUCACUGCAACCUUAACUCAUGAGAAAAUAUGUUGAUCUUGUGGGAACAAAGCUGCUGAAAUACAGCGUCAGCAGCCAAAUGGGUAUUUCUCAGCGGCAGUGCUGGUGACAGAUCUGCCACACAACAUCAACAAAAGCAAACAAAGCACAGACACAGGUUUAGACUAGACAUGAGUAUGUGGGAUCUGCUGGAGAGAAGGCAAAAGUAAGGUUGGAUUAAUCUUACAUUCACAAGUUGGAAGUUUACUCCAUUCAACGUCGUUUCCUUUAAGCUGACACUGGAUGAAAUGACGCCCAUCUAAUUUGUACCUAAGUGAAAAUGCACAAGAAAAGAAAAAUGUGUGCCGCUAUCCAGAAACUGAACACAAUUCCCCCCCGCCCAGUACCUGUAUGAUCAGGAGCCUAGAAAAGGCAGUUUUAAAGCAAGCAGGUGGGCUGAUACAAGCAGGUUAAAGGAGAGCUCCUUCACCUGGCGCUCUGCCAGGAUCCUUAUUAAUCUAUUUUCAGGCGAUUCUCCCCUUCGACUCACUGCAGAGCGCAUCUUCCAUUGCAAGGGUGGGAGAAGUCGCAGCUGGCAGCUAGCAGAGCACGCAGCGGAUGCCAGAGAGCGCUGAGGUUAGAUGCGGAUUCCCACAUGGAUGCCCUGGGCUUGGGUUUGCUGAAUGAGGCACUAUUUCUCCCUGCCCGCUUCCUGGCGGAGCACAGUGCUGGGAUUCAGGCCGCUGGCGUCCAGCGCCUUUCCCACGCCGCCGUCACCCCCCAGGAGGAGGUGACGAGGUGAGGAGCUCCCUCCUGAGCACACGCAGCAUCUCGAAAGGCUGUGGCUCAGCCCCUGACUGCUGCUGCGCUUCGCGGCGGUGCUGCAUGACCGAGGUCAGUUAGCUGGACCUGCUGCAAUCCUCAGUGCCGGCGGUAGCGGGCAGGGCACCCAGCCUCCUUCAGUGCCACCGCCUCCCUAGGAGAUUGCUCUUGGGUUGCUAAAUUCUGCCAGAAAAGCAAAUGACAGCAGGCUGCUGUUGUGCCUCCUCACCUGGUCUCUGCAAAUAUUCAAAUGCUUCCACUACAUACAGCAGGGCCCGGGGGUCGGGGGCAACAGGGAUCUACGUUCCAUUAAAGUGGCUUUUGGGUUGGCUUGCUGGAAACUAAUACUCCUUGUUCUGACAGCACUGACACAUUCCCCAAUCUCUGAAUUAUGCCCUCCUGUUCAAAAAAAUUCACCAUUUGUACAUGAUGGAUAGUAUCCGAUCUUGCCUAGAUGGAUAACAUUAUCCCUCCACCCUGAUGUGUAUUGCUGAAGAUUAACCGAACCCCAGAAGGGUGGGAAAUGCUGUCAUUUCCCAAAGUCCACGCUAAGGGAAUAUCUGAAGAAAGAAAUCUAUCUGUCACAUUUGAAGCAGCUGCAAAGACUGACAGAACAAGGCAGAAGAUGCCAGCUAGCUCCUGCUAGGGAGGGAGGAAUGCUAGCUGGAGUCUUAAGAGUUUAAUUUUGCGAGUGUCUACUGCAUGUGUGCUGAUUGAAAGCAGGCAAAAAGUGUGAGUCAGCUCACUGACGGACGGAAAGUGUGCUUCAUUGCAGUUUUCUAGCUGAACAUCAUUGUAUUUUUAAAAUUCAAAGGUAACGCCUUUUAAUUCAAUAUAUCUCCAAUAUGUUAAAUUGAAAUCUUUUAAGUAACCUGUUUUGAACUGAUGGUACAACCAGCUCUGUAGGGGAGGUUAGAUUUCCUCUGGAUGACACCUGAAGGAAAGGUAGCCAUAAAUUCAGACCCCGCUCCCUUCCCUGCAGCCGCGUGUCAUUCCUUCCCAGCCCAAAGCUGUGAUUCAAGUGGGAAAAGCAGCCCCAUGCUCUGCAUUCGGAGCAACACCGCAAGAGCGAUAUAUUGUGAAAUAGCAGCCCAGCCCAUGUCCAUAGUUCAUUGCACUGGACAGGAGUUUGCAUUCCAGCACCAGCACUGGUGUACUGGAGCUCGGGGGCAUUGCCCCGUGACUCACCCGUCUUCGCAGAACACGUUCACUCGUGCACCGAACUGCAAGUCUGUGAGAACAACCGUCCUGCCCCCGGGCAGCGCGCCCGGCUCGCCGCAGGAUCUCCCUGCCAGAGAACGAGGCCAGCGUUAGUGGAAACACACCAUGAUGGAGAGAUAAAAAAGUCUAAAUAAGGAACAGACUUAGAGGGUUAUACCCAAAGGUACCAAAGCGUUUCACUUCCCACGUGCCACAGCCGAGCUGGCAGGGGCCAGAAUCAGCUGUAGACCGAGGUGGGAUGCCCCGUAAGGGCUCCACGCUCACAGCCGUAAGCGUCUCACGGGAGGGCGGAGGAGAAUAUUUGCAGAGACAUUUCCCUCUCGACAGACUGGCAGUAAGUUACUUGACUGUGAAAAAUGUAUUGCUGCCACAUCAUCAAUCUUAACAUUACAUAGAUGUCACCGAGAAACACGCUUUGUCUUAAUUUUGAAGUUCAGUGCUAGAGUUGCAAAUUGGCAUUUGUCCUGUGCAUAUGCUGUGUCCAGAUGCACAUGUUUCCCAACAUGAAAAUCAAAACAGAUCUGUUCAUACCAGCAGAAAGAAAAAAGAACACUAUCGAUACUCCUGCUGUUCAGACUUAAAUACGAAUGUCAAGGAAUAUCCACCUAGUUUUGCAUUAAACACGUAGCUGUUGGGACGAUAACGACCCGGCUGCAUUUCAGCACGCGGGUUGGGAGCAGCCACCUGACCUGCUCCAACCUCCACAGCUGCUUUUUGGCAAGCAGCGCGGAGCAGAGAUACUCACUCCUGCACAACUCAGCGGCUUCCGACCACACCAGGUUUUCAAGGCAAGUGCUAGUGGGGGAACUUUCCGAGGUGUUCUCGUAGCCGCGGCGGCAGACGUAGCUCACGUUGGUCCCCACAGGAAAGAAAUUAAUUGUCUCGUCCGCCUUGGACAGGGCAGCAAACCGCAACCGUGUUGGGGCAGGACAGCUCCCUGGCAGUCAAGGAAAGCGGGCCUGAAAGAGCUGCCCGCGGGGAGGCACGCAAAACAAACCUCGGAACCGCAGAAAUGCUCUCGCUACGGUGCUUUUGGAAAAUUGCAGGUUACUUCGGUAUUUCGUCCCAGGCUGCUGCUCUGCUCAAUGCGUCUUUUGCGAAGCGCAGGUGAAGAUGCAUUAAGCGCGGAGGCGAAGCUGUUAGUAGGGGACAAGAAGCCGCUCGCACAGCCUCUGCCAGCCGGGGCUCGGGAGCCGGGCGAGCAUCCUGCGCUCCAGCCAGUCUGACUUACCCCUUCGAUGGCCGACACGGAUCCUGCGCCCAGCAGCAGCUCUGAUGAUCAGCAGCUAAGGGAAGCGGUUUUGUACCUUGCCAGGAUGGGCGGUGCCAUUGCAGAGCAGCCACCGUAAGCAGCAGAAAUUUGAAGCCAAGCGAGAGACAAGCGAAGGAGCCGUGUUUCAGAGAAAGGAGGUAUUUACGGCCACAGGGCUCGGGCAGCUUUGACCAGCGCGCGCCGGGCAGGCACUCCGCCGUGUCCGACCUCUCGGGGAUCUUGAUGGCGCCUUCGAGGCACGUGUACGUCACCCUGGAUCCAACGGGGAAGCUGCUGGCAUGCUCAUCGCUGGAUGGUCUAGAGUAGUUCAUGGGAGGUGGGGGCCCACAGUCACCUGUGGCAGGAGGAGACCUCCUCAGGUGAGGACCCAGGUCCCUGGCCCCUUCCCCAGCCCCAGCGAGCAUCCCAGGAGGGCGGCUGGGCUGGCCCAGGCUUCUCCUCUGGGCAAAGGCACCGGCCAGGGCUGCAUCCACAAGAGCAUCCGUGAGAGCAUCAAGCAAUGGGUCUCCAGACUUGGGGGUGGUGGCGUCGCCCUCCCCAACCCCUGAGCAGCCAGGUAGGACCUGGGCAGGUCUUGCUGGUCCUCCCCACACAUCCCACGUCCCCAUACUCACUGCGAGCCACCGGCAGCCCUAGAAGCCCCAGCAAGGCCAGGAGGAGCACGGGGUGGCCGGACCCCCAUGCCCCGGCGGGUGCCCUGCAGCUCAGGGUGCCGAGGUGCUUCCCCCGUCCCGGUUCUCCAGGCUUCAUUGCAGCAAUCUCUGUGCUCUUCUGUUGAGCAUCUUUGGCUCCAAGGGGCUGUUUCCGAAGCUGGGAGGAGAUGCAGCACAGCAGACUCACGCAAGCGUCUGGAGCAGUGGACACUUUUCCAGAACACACAUAGAGCUGCAGGGACAUGGAGAUCAGCCAGGGGUGGAGGACAACUGCUAUUCACAGGCUUGGGUAAAGCCCUGGUCCUCCUGCCCGCACUGUAAGGGAUGGGGGAAUAACUCAACCCUUUUACUUGACCCAAGACUGGCAGUUUUAACCAAACCAAAUGCUACCAGAGCGGAAAAUAAGCCCACCCGGCCCCAAGCUGUGUCCAGGGUAGGAAAGUGCCUACUUAGUCAUUUGCUGGCAGGUAACGCAACACAGAUCUUCUAGGAGCAGAGUUAGGGAAGCAAAAAAAUAAAAGCAUUAGGCUUUUAGUUUGUUAA
Molecule: non-coding RNA, 7757 nt
Organism: Phalacrocorax carbo (great cormorant)
Lineage: Eukaryota; Metazoa; Chordata; Aves; Suliformes; Phalacrocoracidae
Source: RefSeq, a predicted model, not a curated record